RNAcentral lists this long non-coding RNA (254 nucleotides) under Lathyrus oleraceus (garden pea). RNAcentral describes it as "Pisum sativum (pea) long non-coding RNA (PSAT_LNC018792)". Lineage: Eukaryota; Viridiplantae; Streptophyta; Magnoliopsida; Fabales; Fabaceae. The record is from RNAcentral.
AAAAAAGUAAUACUCACACAAAUAUUUAAAGACUUUGACAUAAGCACUUCUCGUCAAAUACACUUUUGAGAGGGAAAUUCCCAAAUAAUUAAGAACUCCUGCAUCAAAUUCAUUCAAAGGAAGACAUAUAUUGAUCAAGAAAAACAAACAUUCAUGAAGAGGGAUGAUGCACCCAUCAUACUUGCUACGCACCCUCUGGUAUCCUUUAAUGGAAAUCACUCCCUAGUCCGAUGAGGAUCCUACCUCGAUGAAAG